UCCGGUUGAUCCUGCCGCCSAGGUCACUGCUAUCGGUGUUCGACUAAGCCAUGCGAGUCAAAUGUUCUUCGUGAACAUGGCGUACUGCUCAGUAACACGUGGAUAACCUGCCCUUAGGACUGGCAUAACCCCGGGAAACUGGGGAUAAUUCCGGAUAGUUCAUGGUAGUUGGAAUGCUCCAUGAUCGAAAGCUAUUGCGCUUAAGGAUGGGUCUGCGGUCUAUCAGGUAGUAGUGGGUGUAAUGUACCUACUAGCCGACGACGGAUACGGGUUGUGGGAGCAAGAGCCCGGAGAUGGAUUCUGAGACAUGAAUCCAGGCCCUACGGGGCGCAGCAGGCGCGAAAACUUUACAAUGCGGGAAACCGCGAUAAGGGGACACCGAGUGCCAGCAUCUUAUGUUGGCUGUCCGCAUGUAUAAAUCACAUGUGUUAGCAAG
Molecule: ribosomal RNA, 436 nt
Filed under: Methanosarcinaceae archaeon enrichment clone M16
Lineage: Archaea; Methanobacteriati; Methanobacteriota; Methanomicrobia; Methanosarcinales; Methanosarcinaceae
Description: bacterial SSU rRNA
Rfam family: Archaeal small subunit ribosomal RNA
Source: RNAcentral